Molecule: microRNA precursor, 78 nt
Filed under: Schistosoma mansoni
Lineage: Eukaryota; Metazoa; Platyhelminthes; Trematoda; Strigeidida; Schistosomatidae
Description: mir-3492 microRNA precursor family
Rfam family: mir-3492 microRNA precursor family
Source: Rfam by way of RNAcentral
AUCCUUCUGAAUCGGCGCCGAGAUUUCGUUAGACAUCAGACCUUCAGUACUGAUGAGAUUCUCACGAUAAGUGGAGCG